RNAcentral lists this long non-coding RNA (204 nucleotides) under Lathyrus oleraceus (garden pea). Its description in RNAcentral is "Pisum sativum (pea) long non-coding RNA (PSAT_LNC003505)". The record is from RNAcentral. Lineage: Eukaryota; Viridiplantae; Streptophyta; Magnoliopsida; Fabales; Fabaceae.
UAAAAAUUAGUACUAUCUAAAGUAACAAUAGUUAGGAGAGGCAACCGAUUUUAUUUUUUUUAGUUUUGGCUUCAUAAGUAAAGUGACAUUAUUCCUUUCUUAACCGUUCAUACAUAAGACAUUUUGUUCUUCUUGAAAAAAAGCAUUCACAGUAACCACCAUAAGAAGGACACAACUCCAUCGUCUUUUUGUUUCACAAGUAUC